This 800-nucleotide ribosomal RNA is filed under the name uncultured bacterium. RNAcentral describes it as "bacterial SSU rRNA". It matches the Rfam family "Bacterial small subunit ribosomal RNA", at positions 8 to 806 of the family's 1533-position model. The record is from RNAcentral.
AGAGUUUGAUCCUGGCUCAGGAUGAACGCUGGCGGCGUGCCUAACACAUGCAAGUCGAACGAAGCACUUACAGAUGAACCCUUCGGGGCGAUUCCGUUUGUGACUGAGUGGCGGACGGGUGAGUAACGCGUGGGGAACCUGCCUCUGCCAGGGGGAUAACAGUUAGAAAUGACUGCUAAUACCGCAUAAGCGCACGGAACCGCAUGGUUCGGUGUGAAAAGCCGAGACGGACAGAGAUGGACCCGCGUCUGAUUAGGUAGUUGGUGAGGUAACGGCCCACCAAGCCGACGAUCAGUAGCCGACCUGAGAGGGUGACCGGCCACAUUGGGACUGAGACACGGCCCAAACUCCUACGGGAGGCAGCAGUGGGGAAUAUUGCACAAUGGGGGAAACCCUGAUGCAGCGACGCCGCGUGAAGGAAGAAGUAUUUCGGUACGUAAACUUCUAUCAGCAGGGAAGAAAACGACGGUACCUGACUAAGAAGCUCCGGCUAAAUACGUGCCAGCAGCCGCGGUAAUACGUAUGGAGCAAGCGUUAUCCGGAUUUACUAGGUGUAAAGGGAGCGUAGGCGGCGAUGCAAGUCAGAGGUGAAAGCCCGGGGCUCAACUCCGGGACUGCCUUUGAAACUGUAUGGCUGGAUUGCAGGAGAGGUAAGUGGAAUUCCUAGUGUAGCGGUGAAAUGCGUAGAUAUUAGGAGGAACACCAGUGGCGAAGGCGGCUUACUGGACUGUAAAUGACGCUGAGGCUCGAAAGCGUGGGGAGCAAACAGGAUUAGAUACCCUGGUAGUCCACGCGGUAAA